GGCCGUUUUUGGGUGACACACCCCAGAAUCAGGCUAUCUCCUCUCUGGUUCCAGGUGCGUCACCUGAGAACUGCA
This is a non-coding RNA of Myotis lucifugus (little brown bat), 75 nucleotides long. NCBI's taxonomy places the organism in Eukaryota, Metazoa, Chordata, Mammalia, Chiroptera, Vespertilionidae. The record is from Rfam.